Molecule: transfer RNA, 71 nt
Filed under: Agrilus planipennis (emerald ash borer)
Lineage: Eukaryota; Metazoa; Arthropoda; Insecta; Coleoptera; Buprestidae
Rfam family: tRNA
About the family: Transfer RNA (tRNA) molecules are approximately 80 nucleotides in length. Their secondary structure includes four short double-helical elements and three loops (D, anti-codon, and T loops). Further hydrogen bonds mediate the characteristic L-shaped molecular structure. tRNAs have two regions of fundamental functional importance: the anti-codon, which is responsible for specific mRNA codon recognition, and the 3' end, to which the tRNAs corresponding amino acid is attached (by aminoacyl-tRNA synthetases). tRNAs cope with the degeneracy of the genetic code in two manners: having more than one tRNA (with a specific anti-codon) for a particular amino acid; and 'wobble' base-pairing, i.e. permitting non-standard base-pairing at the 3rd anti-codon position.
Source: Rfam by way of RNAcentral
UUCAUUGUAGCUCAGUGGUAGAGUGCCGGUGCGUAAAACCAGCCGUCCGGGUUCGAUUCCCAGCAAGGGAG